RNAcentral lists this ribosomal RNA (460 nucleotides) under uncultured bacterium. Its description in RNAcentral is "partial 16S ribosomal RNA". It matches the Rfam family "Bacterial small subunit ribosomal RNA", at positions 338 to 795 of the family's 1533-position model. The record is from RNAcentral.
CCUACGGGAGUCAGCAGUGAGGAAUAUUGGUCAAUGGGCGAGAGUCUGAACCAGCCAAGUAGCGUGAAGGAUGACUGCCCUAUGGGUUGUAAACUUCUUUUAUAUGGGAAUAAAACGUUCCACGUGUGGGAUUUUGUAUGUACCAUAUGAAUAAGGAUCGGCUAACUCCGUGCCAGCAGCCGCGGUAAUACGGAGGAUCCGAGCGUUAUCCGGAGUUAUUGGGUUUAAAGGGAGCGUAGGUGGAUUUGUAAGUCAGUUGUGAAAGUUUGGGGCUCAACCGUAAAAUUGCAGUUGAAACUGGCAGUCUUGAGUACAGUAGAGGUGGGCGGAAUUCGUGGUGUAGCGGUGAAAUGCUUAGAUAUCACGAAGAACUCCGAUUGCGAAGGCAGUUCACUGGACUGCAACUGACACUGAGGCUCGAAAGUGUGGGUAUCAAACAGGAUUAGAUACCCGAGUAGUC